Molecule: long non-coding RNA, 163 nt
Organism: Leptinotarsa decemlineata (Colorado potato beetle)
Lineage: Eukaryota; Metazoa; Arthropoda; Insecta; Coleoptera; Chrysomelidae
Source: RefSeq, a predicted model, not a curated record
GGUAACGAAACCAGAACCGCUCUCGUUUACAAAUAUCUGCCUGAUGAAGAAGGCUUUUCCCAUAAGUAUCAGAUCUUCUACAUAGAUGCUGAUAAUUGCGUUAAUUCUGCCCACCAUGGAGCAACUUACAGAUAUGAAGUUAUAAUGGCCACUGACGGUGAGU